Molecule: ribosomal RNA, 466 nt
Filed under: uncultured bacterium
Lineage: Bacteria
Description: bacterial SSU rRNA
Rfam family: Bacterial small subunit ribosomal RNA
Source: RNAcentral
GGACGAACGCUGGCGGCGUGCUUAACACAUGCAAGUCGAGCGAUGAAGUUUCUUCGGAAAUGGAUUAGCGGCGAACGGGUGAGGAACACGUGAAGAAUCUGCCCUCCACUUUGGGAUAACACCGGGAAACCGGUGCUAAUACCGAAUAUUGAAACAUAAGUGGCAUCACUGAGUUUUGAAAGAAUUUCGGUGGAGGAUGACUUCGCGGCCUAUCAGCUAGUUGGUGAGGUAAUGGCUCACCAAGGCGACGACGGGUAGCCGGCCUGAGAGGGUGACCGGCCACACUGGAACUGAGAUACGGUCCAGACUCCUACGGGAGGCAGCAGUGGGGAAUAUUGCACAAUGGGCGCAAGCCUGAUGCAGCAACGCCGCGUGAGGGAUGAAGGCCUUCGGGUUGUAAACCUCUUUUAGCAGGGAAGAAGCGAAAGUGACGGUACCUGCAGAAAAAGCACCGGCUAACUACGUG